GGAGUGGCGAACGGGUGAGUAACACGUGGGUAACCUGCCCAUCAGAAGGGGAUAACACUUGGAAACAGGUGCUAAUACCGUAUAACAAUCGAAACCGCAUGGUUUUGAUUUGAAAGGCGCUUUCGGGUGUCGCUGAUGGAUGGACCCGCGGUGCAUUAGCUAGUUGGUGAGGUAACGGCUCACCAAGGCGACGAUGCAUAGCCGACCUGAGAGGGUGAUCGGCCACAUUGGGACUGAGACACGGCCCAAACUCCUACGGGAGGCAGCAGUAGGGAAUCUUCGGCAAUGGACGAAAGUCUGACCGAGCAACGCCGCGUGAGUGAAGAAGGUUUUCGGAUCGUAAAACUCUGUUGUUAGAGAAGAACAAGGAUGAGAGUAACUGUUCAUCCCUUGACGGUAUCUAACCAGAAAGCCACGGCUAACUACGUGCCAGCAGCCGCGGUAAUACGUAGGUGGCAAGCGUUGUCCGGAUUUAUUGGGCGUAAAGCGAGCGCAGGCGGUUUCUUAAGUCUGAUGUGAAAGCCCCCGGCUCAACCGGGGAGGGUCAUUGGAAACUGGGAGACUUGAGUGCAGAAGAGGAGAGUGGAAUUCCAUGUGUAGCGGUGAAAUGCGUAGAUAUAUGGAGGAACACCAGUGGCGAAGGCGGCUCUCUGGUCUGUAACGACGCUGAGGCUCGAAAGCGUGGGGAGCAAACAGGAUUAGAUACCCUGGUAGUCCACGCCGUAAACGAUGAGUGCUAAGUGUUGGAGGGUUUCCGCCCUUCAGUGCUGCAGCUAACGCAUUAAGCACUCCGCCUGGGGAGUACGACCGCAAGGUUGAAACUCAAAGGAAUUGACGGGGGCCCGCACAAGCGGUGGAGCAUGUGGUUUAAUUCGAAGCAACGCGAAGAACCUUACCAGGUCUUGACAUCCUUUGACCACUCUAGAGAUAGAGCUUCCCCUUCGGGGGCAAAGUGACAGGUGGUGCAUGGUUGUCGUCAGCUCGUGUCGUGAGAUGUUGGGUUAAGUCCCGCAACGAGCGCAACCCUUAUUGUUAGUUGCCAUCAUUUAGUUGGGCACUCUAGCAAGACUGCCGGUGACAAACCGGAGGAAGGUGGGGAUGACGUCAAAUCAUCAUGCCCCUUAUGACCUGGGCUACACACGUGCUACAAUGGGAAGUACAACGAGUCGCAAAGUCGCGAGGCUAAGCUAAUCUCUUAAAGCUUCUCUCAGUUCGGAUUGUAGGCUGCAACUCGCCUACAUGAAGCCGGAAUCGCUAGUAAUCGCGGAUCAGCACGCCGCGGUGAAUACGUUCCCGGGCCUUGUACACACCGCCCGUCACACCACGAGAGUUU
This 1333-nucleotide ribosomal RNA is filed under the name Enterococcus hirae. RNAcentral describes it as "bacterial SSU rRNA". It matches the Rfam family "Bacterial small subunit ribosomal RNA", at positions 92 to 1413 of the family's 1533-position model. The record is from RNAcentral. Lineage: Bacteria; Bacillati; Bacillota; Bacilli; Lactobacillales; Enterococcaceae.